RNAcentral lists this ribosomal RNA (1142 nucleotides) under Martinezella tropici. Its description in RNAcentral is "bacterial SSU rRNA". Lineage: Bacteria; Pseudomonadati; Pseudomonadota; Alphaproteobacteria; Hyphomicrobiales; Rhizobiaceae. The record is from RNAcentral.
CAUGCGAGUCGAGACGCCCCGCCCAGGGGAGCGGCAUACGGGUGAGUAACGCGUGGGAAUCUACCUUUUGCUACGGAAUAUCACAAGGAAACUUGUGCUAAUACCGUAUGUGUCCUUCGGGAGAAAGAUUUAUCGGCAAGAGAUGAGCCCGCGUUGGAUUAGCUACUUGGUGGGGUAAAGGCCUACCAGGGGGACGAUCCAUAGCUGGUCUGAGAGGAUGAUCAGCCACAUUGGGACUGAGACACGGCCCAAACUCCUACCGCAGGCAGCAUGGGGGAAUAUUGGACAAUGGGCGCAAGCCUGAUCCAGCCAUGCCACGUGAGUGAUGAAGGCCCUAAGGUUGUAAAGCUCUUUCACCGGAGAAGAUAAUGACGGUAUCCGGAGAAUAAGCCCCGGAUAACUUCGUGCCAGCAACCGCAAUAAUACGAAGGGGGCUAGCGUUGAUCAAAAUUACUGGGCGUAAAGCGCACGUAGGCGGAUCGAUCAGUCGGGGGUGAAAUCCCAGGGCUCAACCCUGGAACUGCCUUUGAUACUGUCAAUCUGGAGUAUGGAAGAGGUGACUGGAAUUCCGAGUGUAAAGGGGAAAUUCAUAUAUAUUCGAAGGAACACCAAUGGGGAAGGCGGCUCACUGGUCCAUUACUGACGCUGAGGUGCRAAAGCRUGAGGAGCAAACAGGAUUACAUACCCUGGUACUCCACGCCGUAAACGAUGAAUGUUAGCCGGCGGGCAAUAUACUGUUCAGUGGCGGAGCUAACGCAUUAAACAUUCCGCCUGGGGGAGUACGGUCCCAAGAUUAAAACUCAAAGGAAUUGACGGGGGUCCCGCACAAGCGGGGGAGCAUGGGGUCUCAAUUCGAAACAACCCACAAAAACCUUACARGCCCUUGACAUCCUGGGUUACCUCUAGAGAUAGGGGGUCCACUUCGGGGACGCAUAAACAGGUGCUGCAUGGCUGACAUCAGCUCAUGUCGUGAGAUGUUGGGUUGAGUCCCGCAACGAGCGCAAUCCCUCGACCUUUUGUGCCGCAUUUGCAGGGCACUUCUAAAGCGACUGCCGGGAAUAAACCGAUAGGUCAAUGUGGUGCAUGACGUUCAGUCUCAUGUCCAUUACGGACCUGGGCGUUACACCCCAGUGCCUACAAAA